GAUGAACGCUGGCGGCGUGCUUAACACAUGCAAGUCGAGCGAGAAAUUCUAAAACAAUUCUUCGGAUGCGUUUUAGAAUGGACAGCGGCGGACGGGUGAGUAACGCGUAGGCAACCUACCCUAUACAGAGGGAUAGCCUCGGGAAACCGGGAUUAAUACCUCAUAACACUUUAGCAUCGCAUGAUGCGAAAGUCAAAGAUUUAUCGGUAUGGGAUGGGCCUGCGUCUGAUUAGCUAGUUGGUAAGGUAACGGCUUACCAAGGCGACGAUCAGUAGCCGACCUGAGAGGGUGAUCGGCCACACUGGAACUGAGACACGGUCCAGACUCCUACGGGAGGCAGCAGUGGGGAAUAUUGCACAAUGGGCGCAAGCCUGAUGCAGCAACGCCGCGUGAGUGAUGAAGGCUUUUCGGGUCGUAAAAACUCUGUCCUAAGGGAAGAAUAAAAUGACGGUACCUUAGGAGGAAGCCCCGGCUAACUACGU
This 482-nucleotide ribosomal RNA is filed under the name uncultured bacterium. RNAcentral describes it as "bacterial SSU rRNA". It matches the Rfam family "Bacterial small subunit ribosomal RNA", at positions 28 to 506 of the family's 1533-position model. The record is from RNAcentral.